GACGAACGCUGGCGGCGUGCUUAACACAUGCAAGUCGAACGGAAAGGCCCUUCGGGGUACUCGAGUGGCGAACGGGUGAGUAACACGUGGGUGAUCUGCCCUGCACUCUGGGAUAAGCCUGGGAAACUGGGUCUAAUACCGGAUAGGACCACACACUUCAUGGUGAGUGGUGCAAAGCUUUUGCGGUGUGGGAUGAGCCCGCGGCCUAUCAGCUUGUUGGUGGGGUAAUGGCCCACCAAGGCGACGACGGGUAGCCGGCCUGAGAGGGUGACCGGCCACACUGGGACUGAGAUACGGCCCAGACUCCUACGGGAGGCAGCAGUGGGGAAUAUUGCACAAUGGGCGCAAGCCUGAUGCAGCGACGCCGCGUGAGGGAUGACGGCCUUCGGGUUGUAAACCUCUUUCAGUAGGGACGAAGCGAAAGUGACGGUACCUACAGAAGAAGGACCGGCCAACUAC
This 459-nucleotide ribosomal RNA is filed under the name Mycobacteroides chelonae. RNAcentral's name for it is "bacterial SSU rRNA". It matches the Rfam family "Bacterial small subunit ribosomal RNA", at positions 28 to 504 of the family's 1533-position model. The record is from RNAcentral. Lineage: Bacteria; Bacillati; Actinomycetota; Actinomycetes; Mycobacteriales; Mycobacteriaceae.